This 429-nucleotide ribosomal RNA is filed under the name Gemmatimonadota bacterium. RNAcentral's name for it is "Gemmatimonadetes bacterium partial 16S ribosomal RNA". It matches the Rfam family "Bacterial small subunit ribosomal RNA", at positions 355 to 776 of the family's 1533-position model. The record is from RNAcentral. Lineage: Bacteria; Pseudomonadati; Gemmatimonadota.
UAGGGAAUCUUCGGCAAUGGACGAAAGUCUGACCGAGCAACGCCGCGUGAGUGAAGAAGGUUUUCGGAUCGUAAAACUCUGUUGUUAGAGAAGAACAAGGACGUUAGUAACUGAACGUCCCCUGACGGUAUCUAACCAGAAAGCCACGGCUAAUUACGUGCCAGCAGCCGCGUUAAGACGUAGGUGGCAAGCGUUGUCCGGAUUUAUUGGGCGUAAAGCGAGCGCAGGCGGUUUCUUAAGUCUGAUGUGAAAGCCUCCGGCUCAACCGGGGAAGGUCAUUGGAAACUGGGAGACUUGAGUGCAGAAGAGGAGAGUGGAAUUCCAUGUGUAGCGGUGAAAUGCGUAGAUAUAUGGAGGAACACCAGUGGCGAAGGCGGCUCUCUGGUCUGUAACUGACGCUGAGGCUCGAAAGCGUGGGGAGCAAACAGG